RNAcentral lists this ribosomal RNA (402 nucleotides) under uncultured bacterium. RNAcentral's name for it is "bacterial SSU rRNA". It matches the Rfam family "Bacterial small subunit ribosomal RNA", at positions 976 to 1380 of the family's 1533-position model. The record is from RNAcentral.
CGGGCUCGAACGGCAGCUGCAUGGAUCAGAGAUGGUUCAGUCUUCGGACAGUUGUCGAGGUGCUGCAUGGUUGUCGUCAGCUCGUGCCGUGAGGUGUCGGCUUAAGUGCCAUAACGAGCGCAACCCUUGCCGUCAGUUGCCAUCAGGUGAAGCUGGGGACUCUGGCGGGACUGCCACCGCAAGGUGUGAGGAAGGGGGGGAUGACGUCAAAUCAGCACGGCCCUUACGUCCGGGGCGACACACGUGUUACAAUGGCAGGUACAGAGGGAAGCUACCCGGCGACGGGAUGCAGAUCUCGAAAACCUGUCUCAGUUCGGAUUGGAGUCUGCAACUCGACUCCAUGAAGUUGGAUUCGCUAGUAAUCGCGCAUCAGCCAUGGCGCGGUGAAUACGUUCCCGGGCC